RNAcentral lists this long non-coding RNA (1029 nucleotides) under Rattus norvegicus (Norway rat). RNAcentral describes it as "long non-coding RNA NONRATT007835". Lineage: Eukaryota; Metazoa; Chordata; Mammalia; Rodentia; Muridae. The record is from RNAcentral.
CCACAGCUGGCCUGGAGGACAAAAGGGACCAGAGGAAUCCUUCACUGCUGAACCUGGGAGCCAUGGUUGGGAUGGUCUUGGCCAAAGUUGUGGUCAUCAUCCCCCUGUAUGGAUGGAUGAUCUUCCUGUGGUGGAAGCAAAGGCCAGCAGCAUAAAGACUAAACUCUAGUAAGGUGAGUGCCUGUCAUCUCAAGGGACAGACGAGGAGCUGCUGGGAAGUUCAUUAUGAGAAGCAUGGAAGGGAGCCCGAGCGAUAAUUCUGUCAGAAACACAUGGCACAGGGGUAGGAGGACCUGAGUUUGAUGGAUCAGGAGCUUGCACCCAGGGAUGUGGCAUGAAUUUGCAAUCCCAGCCCUGGUCGAGCAAGAGACAGGCAGAGACAGAUUGGCUGAACACCAAGUAUAGGACACUUGGUGAGUUCCAGGCCUGUGAAAGAUUGUGUCUUUAAAAAUUAGGGGGAUUGCUCAAGGUGAUAAAUCAUGCACAUAACAUUUUCUAAAUUGAUUUUUCCUGAAAUAUUUUAAAUUACACAUGAAGGAAGAAAAAUAGUACAUGCCAGUGAGCUAGCUCAGUGGGAAACGGAGUCUGCUGCCUAGCCCAGUGACCUGGGAAUGAUUUCUGCGGACCCAAAUGGUACACAGAGAACACUGACUCUGGACAUCUGUCAUCUGUCUCUCCUGUUGCCCACCAGAUGCUGGUAACAAAUAAUUUUGUAUUCCUCAACUAACAGGCUCCUCAGUGCUAGGAUCUCUCAUCAGGGAGGUGAAUUUACAUCAAAGUAGUUGUUGGUGAUUACACACCCUGCAUCCCACAGCCUUCCAUGUCUUCUCGCUGGGAGUCAGUCAUCAUGGCUGCAGGAUUCUCCUGUGAAAAUCAUUCUUGGAUAACUCCCACUUCUGCCAUGGGGACUCAGACAUGCUCUCCUUGGAACCAUGGACCUCCUGUGUGUCUCUGGGCCUGAGACCCUGACUGUGCUGUUCUCUCUCUGUUCAUGGAGUUAUUGACACUGUUAAUAAAUAUCUUACUCCC